Molecule: long non-coding RNA, 3261 nt
Organism: Lactuca sativa (garden lettuce)
Lineage: Eukaryota; Viridiplantae; Streptophyta; Magnoliopsida; Asterales; Asteraceae
Source: RefSeq, a predicted model, not a curated record
UCUUCUUUCUUUCUCUCUCAAACUUCCCUAAGGCCCCGAGGCCCAACCCAUGUGGUUCUUAAGUGUUAGUAGCGAAGCUCUGUAGUAUAAGAGUUCCCCGAGAAAUAGAGCAUUUAGUUUUGAAGUUUUGCCCGCGUAAUCCCCUGUUUUCGUCAAACAACCUUUUCGCUUGGGGUAGUUAUCUAAUGAGAUUUUACGUAUGAUGACAUUGAGGAUACAUGGAACAAGAUAAAUAAAUAUUUAUCACUUCCUAAGCGUCGUCAAAUUUUAAAAUACUCCUUCUCAGUAUUUACGGCUCCAAUUAGGAUAUGGAUAUAUGAGAUGUUUCCGGCUGUUCGUGCAUGUGGAUUUGUAUUGAGAAAAAAUAGAGACAUGCCUCUCAUGAAACGAUGGAAUGAGACAAAAAAAUUGAAAUGGGUUGAUGUGAACAAGAUUUUUUCAAAAAUACAGGAGGGACAACCACCAAGACAAAACAUGUUACCGAGUGAUGGUGAGAUGACAUCUUGUUAUUAUAUGUCAUUUCAAGAGUAUAUAUAUGGUGGACAGAAAUCAGUUCCAUCCCCAGUACGAGACCAUUUUAGGAGACAAGACGAAUCUUCGUCUAGUAUGUCGUAUAGUGGUCGCUCUCAUGGUAGAGGUAAGGGAAGUGGGAAACACAACCUAGAGGAGGUGUUGAAACGGCUACAUGCACUGGAACAUCAUAUGUUUACGAACUGAGAACCUAGAGAGGUUUUUGUUGAAGAAGUGAAUAAUAAAGAUUUAUGGAAUAACAUCAGUUUUGAGGAGCCUGCAGUAUUCCAAACAAAAUUUGAUGAACGGUUGUACAAGAUGAACUGAUGAAUAAAAAUAAUACAACUGAAAAUAUUUUUGGUGAUAUUGAAGACGACAAGGAGUUGGAGGAGAGGAAUGACAAUGCAGGGAACAAAUUUGAUGAUGAUGUGCUUGAUGUAAAUAAUUAUAAUGAAGCUAAAGAGGUGUCGGAGGAAGAUGAAGUAAUAAUUACGGGAAAUGUAGAUUAUUAUGAUACUUAUGGUUUUGAUGGCAAAGAAGUUACACCCGAUAAACCGAGGACUCGAAAACCGUCACAGUAUUUGUGCCCUCCUUAAACCGAGUUGCACACGACACCGAAGCAAAAAAAGAAGAGAAAAAAAGAAGGUUGAUAUCAAAUCAACAAGCCACGUUCCUCCUCUAGCUUUUGCUGUUGUUCACGACUUCUCCGUGUUGCGCCUACAACCUUACGUAGCAGGCGGUGAGGUUGUCAUCCACAAUUAUUUAUUUCAUUCAUAUGAUGUCCAGCAUGGUUUGUUUAACUUCGUGUUAGAUAGAGAUUUUUGGAGCGCCUUGUUUGGACAUACCCACGACGGAUGGUUGGAGUCAUCGCAUAUGACCAUUUGGUAUAGACUAUUAAUGGCGACCAACAUACAAUAAUGCCUCCAAAUUUUUUUGUUUGCCAUGCUUUGGAAGAAGGGCAGGAUUGGAGGGCGUUUAUGGCUGGUAUUGCUACGUACCCCAACUUCAUGGUUGCUUGGUGGGAUGUCGAUAUGGUCCUAUUGUCGAUUCAUUCAUACCCUAAUCACUGGUUAUUUGUGGAACUACGAUUGGCGUCAAUGGAAGUCCAUAUUUAUGACAGUCUCGGUAGAGUGGCUUAUGAAAAAUUCAAAUCUGAUGGAACCUUUACCAAAUUUGAAUCUCGGGUGGCAAAUUAUUUAAACAAGAUUAACUAUUAGGCCCGGAAGAACAUCCCAAGGAUUCCAUUGAAUAUGCAAUUCAUUUAUGAAAAAAAUGUUCCCCAACAAAGUAGUCAUUUGGGAGAUUCCGGUGUUUUUGUUUGUAUGUUUAUGGAACAAUUAGUUUCAGGUCAACCAAUACGUGAACUUAUUGACCCAAGGAACGCAACUUUAGAGUUUCGCCAACGGGUGGCAAAAAUUUAUUGGAGGUCGAGUCGUGCGACGUGCUCCACUACCGGACACCCUUCCAGUACAAUUGUUUCUCGUGUGUCCUACUUGACCACAUGUAUAACACUCUUUUCUAAUUGGACCCUCACCUUAGGAUGAAAUGCAGUAUGUGUUUCUUGGCCUGUCCGGCUGACGUUUAUCCAUUAUAGGUGGCUUAACAAUCAUCAAAGCAUCGGGGAUCUCCCAUUCGAAUGGCUUUGGCAGAGGGUUUAUUGAUUCCUCAUAUGUUUUCCUCAGUGUUUCGGUAAAGUAAGCAUUUAAUGCAUACCUCGAGCAGUCUUGGUAAUUAUUGACUGUUAAACAUCUUAUGACAUGACCACAAGGUAUCCCAUCAAGUUGCCAAUGCCUACAUGUACAUGUCAUUUGUUGGAAAUCAACUAUCACGUUUUUUGCCCCCUUUUUGACCUCGUAUUUCAUAUUUGAGAUCAUACGAACAUCCCACUUACUAAAUGUUUUUUUGUUUUCUUUAACAAUUUUAUCGGCCCAAGGGGUAAGUGUUGUUGUUGCUUCCGUUUAAAAAAGACACAAAAUAAAGAAGUUAGAUCAAUAAGAUUUAUUAAAACAUUAAUAUUAAAAAUUAAAAAUUAACUUAAUACCUGCAAAGUUACGUCUUUAAAACCACCACUGUUGUAUUGUUGCACGAAAAAUAUCGAUCAACAUAAGUAUCGGCACCUUACGUGCGUGUCUAGAUAAUGCAUUUAUAGACUCCGCACUAUUAGACGACAUAAGAUUGUAUCAGUUCCCUCUAAAAUGUGCCCUAGACCAACUUUUUGGAUUUAUACUUCUUAAGUACUCCCAUACUGGUUGUUUUUUCUUUCUCAUAAUUUUCAUGGCAGCGUCAAAAGCAUCAACUGUGUAUGUCCUACAAGCCUCCCAAAAAAUUCAUUUAACUGUGUUACUCUUCCCGAAUCUAGAUAGUGUGUUGAAAUACAAAUGGACACCACAUGUUCCGUGAUGAGCGUGAGGAAAAAUGUUGGCACGGAUAUUGCUAUAGAUGGAGACCUAUCAGAUAUAAUUGUAAGUUCCUGCAUAUUGCAUAUGCAAUCACGUAGUUUUUGAAAAAACCAUGUCCAAGAAUCUGUACACUCAUUUUUGAAGAUACCAUAUGCAAUCGGUAAUAUUUGGUUUUGUCCGUCCUUAGUAACUGCAAGUAACAUGGUUCCUUUGACCUCGCCCUUUAGGUGGGCUCCAUCUACUACAAGGUUCAGUUUACAAAAAUUGACAAAAGCGCGUACCUACAAUACAUUGUAUAUCUAUUCAAAUACAACAAAAAAUGGAAAAAUAAUAAAAUAUUAAAAUACUAACC